RNAcentral lists this ribosomal RNA (1464 nucleotides) under metagenome. RNAcentral describes it as "bacterial SSU rRNA". It matches the Rfam family "Bacterial small subunit ribosomal RNA". The record is from RNAcentral.
AGAGUUUGAUCCUGGCUCAGGACGAACGCUGGCGGCACGCCUAACACAUGCAAGUCGAACGGAGAAAAUGAUUUCGGUUAUUUUCUUAGUGGCGGACGGGUGAGUAACACGUGAGGAACCUGCCUCUGAGAGUGGGAUAGCUUCUGGAAACGGAUGGUAAUACCGCAUAACAUAGCGAAACCGCAUGAUUUUGCUAUCAAAGUAUUUCGCUCAGAGAUGGCCUCGCGUCUGAUUAGAUAGUUGGUGAGGUAACGGCUCACCAAGUCGACGAUCAGUAGCCGGACUGAGAGGUUGAACGGCCACAUUGGGACUGAGACACGGCCCAGACUCCUACGGGAGGCAGCAGUGGGGGAUAUUGCACAAUGGGGGAAACCCUGAUGCAGCGAUGCCGCGUGGAGGAAGAAGGUUUUCGGAUUGUAAACUCCUGUCGUAAGGGAAGAGAAAGGACUGUACCUUACAAGAAAGCUCCGGCUAACUACGUGCCAGCAGCCGCGGUAAAACGUAGGUCACAAGCGUUGUCCGGAAUUACUGGGUGUAAAGGGAGCGCAGGCGGGCGAUCAAGUUGGAAGUGAAAUCCAUGGGCUCAACCCAUGAACUGCUUUCAAAACUGGUCGUCUUGAGUAGUGCAGAGGUAGGCGGAAUUCCCGGUGUAGCGGUGGAAUGCGUAGAUAUCGGGAGGAACACCAGUGGCGAAGGCGGCCUACUGGGCACCAACUGACGCUGAGGCUCGAAAGUGUGGGUAGCAAACAGGAUUAGAUACCCUGGUAGUCCACACCGUAAACGAUGAUUACUAGGUGUUGGGAGAUUGACCCUCUCAGUGCCGCAGUUAACACAAUAAGUAAUCCACCUGGGGAGUACGACCGCAAGGUUGAAACUCAAAGGAAUUGACGGGGGCCCGCACAAGCAGUGGAGUAUGUGGUUUAAUUCGACGCAACGCGAAGAACCUUACCAAGUCUUGACAUCCUCUGACGAACGUAGAAAUACGUUUUCUCUUCGGAGCAGAGAGACAGGUGGUGCAUGGUUGUCGUCAGCUCGUGUCGUGAGAUGUUGGGUUAAGUCCCGCAACGAGCGCAACCCUUAUGGUCAGUUACUACGCAAGAGGACUCUGGCCAGACUGCCGUUGACAAAACGGAGGAAGGUGGGGAUGACGUCAAAUCAUCAUGCCCUUUAUGACUUGGGCUACACACGUACUACAAUGGCGUUAAACAAAGAGAAGCAAGACCGCAAGGUGGAGCAAAACUCAGAAACAACGUCCCAGUUCGGACUGCAGGCUGCAACUCGCCUGCACGAAGUCGGAAUUGCUAGUAAUCGUGGAUCAGCAUGCCACGGUGAAUACGUUCCCGGGCCUUGUACACACCGCCCGUCACACCAUGAGAGCCGGGGGGACCCGAAGUCGGUAGUCUAACCGCAAGGAGGACGCCGCCGAAGGUAAAACUGGUGAUUGGGGUGAAGUCGUAACAAGGU